Molecule: ribosomal RNA, 497 nt
Filed under: uncultured bacterium
Lineage: Bacteria
Description: partial 16S ribosomal RNA
Rfam family: Bacterial small subunit ribosomal RNA
Source: RNAcentral
GAUGAACGCUGGCGGCGUGCCUAAUACAUGCCAGUCGAGCGAACAGAUGAGGAGCUUGCUCCUCUGACGUUAGCGGCGGACGGGUGAGUAACACGUGGAUAACCUACCUAUAAGACUGGGAUAACUUCGGGAAACCGGAGCUAAUACCGGAUAAUAUAUUGAACCGCAUGGUUCAAUAGUGAAAGACGGCUUUGCUGUCACUUAUAGAUGGAUCCGCGCCGCAUUAGCUAGUUGGUAAGGUAACGGCUUACCAAGGCAACGAUGCGUAGCCGACCUGAGAGGGUGAUCGGCCACACUGGAACUGAGACACGGUCCAGACUCCUACGGGAGGCAGCAGUAGGGAAUCUUCCGCAAUGGGCGAAAGCCUGACGGAGCAACGCCGCGUGAGUGAUGAAGGUCUUCGGAUCGUAAAACUCUGUUAUUAGGGAAGAACAAAUGUGUAAGUAACUAUGCACGUCUUGACGGUACCUAAUCAGAAAGCCACGGCUAACUACGUG